Molecule: ribosomal RNA, 633 nt
Filed under: uncultured cyanobacterium
Lineage: Bacteria; Bacillati; Cyanobacteriota
Description: bacterial SSU rRNA
Rfam family: Bacterial small subunit ribosomal RNA
Source: RNAcentral
AGAGUUUGAUCCUGGCUCAGGAUGAACGCUGGCGGCGUGCUUAACACAUGCAAGUCGAACGAACCUUCGGGUUAGUGGCGGACGGGUGAGUAACGCGUGGGAAUCUGCCCUCAGGAGGGGGAUAACGGCUGGAAACGGCCGCUAAUACCCCAUAUGCCGAGAGGUGAAAUGAAUUUCGCCUGAGGAUGAGCCCGCGUCUGAUUAGCUAGUUGGUGAGGUAAGAGCUCACCAAGGCAUCGAUCAGUAGCUGGUCUGAGAGGAUGAUCAGCCACACUGGGACUGAGACACGGCCCAGACUCCUACGGGAGGCAGCAGUGGGGAAUUUUCCGCAAUGGGCGAAAGCCUGACGGAGCAACGCCGCGUGAGGGAUGAAGGCCUCUGGGCUGUAAACCUCUUUUCUCAAGGAAGAAGAUCUGACGGUACUUGAGGAAUAAGCCACGGCUAAUUCCGUGCCAGCAGCCGCGGUAAUACGGGAGUGGCAAGCGUUAUCCGGAAUUAUUGGGCGUAAAGCGUCCGCAGGCGGCCCUUCAAGUCUGCUGUUAAAAAGUGGAGCUUAACUCCAUCAUGGCAGUGGAAACUGUUGGGCUUGAGUGUGGUAGGGGCAGAGGGAAUUCCCGGUGUAGCGGUGAAAUG